UAUAUUUUAGUGUAAAAGCAUAGAAAUUUUUGAAAUUUCUGGGAAUAUUAAAAUUAUUAAAUAUAA
This 66-nucleotide transfer RNA is filed under the name Anterhynchium aff. flavomarginatum HB. Its description in RNAcentral is "tRNA-Gln". RNAcentral also lists the same sequence under 1 other name. The record is from RNAcentral. Lineage: Eukaryota; Metazoa; Arthropoda; Insecta; Hymenoptera; Vespidae.